GACGAACGCUGGCGGCGUGCUUAACACAUGCAAGUCGAACGGAAAGGCCCUGCUUUUGUGGGGCGCUCGAGUGGCGAACGGGUGAGUAACACGUGAGUAACCUGCCCUUGACUUUGGGAUAACUUCAGGAAACUGGGGCUAAUAUCGGAUAGGAGCUCCUGCUGCAUGGUGGGGGUUGGAAAGUUUCGGCGGUUGGGGAUGGACUCGCGGCUUAUCAGCUUGUUGGUGGGGUAGUGGCUUACCAAGGCUUUGACGGGUAGCCGGCCUGAGAGGGUGACCGGCCACAUUGGGACUGAGAUACGGCCCAGACUCGUACGGGAGGCAGCAGUGGGGAAUAUUGCACAAUGGGCGGAAGCCUGAUGCAGCAACGCCGCGUGCGGGAUGACGGCCUUCGGGUUGUAAACCGCUUUCGCCUGUGACGAAGCGUGAGUGACGGUAAUGGGUAAAGAAGCACCGGCUAACUACGUG
RNAcentral lists this ribosomal RNA (468 nucleotides) under uncultured bacterium. RNAcentral's name for it is "partial 16S ribosomal RNA". It matches the Rfam family "Bacterial small subunit ribosomal RNA", at positions 28 to 507 of the family's 1533-position model. The record is from RNAcentral.